GAUCUGGAAGAUAAAAGCAAUAUAUACUAUAAACUGAAAAAUUAAUUCUUGUGGGAAUUGCUGAUAAUAUAGCAGUGCCAGGCACCUACUGCCAACCAGUUAAACCUUUCCUGCUGUCAGAUGGUACUAGGAUUGUUCUCCCCAGCUGGAACAUAGGAUCACAUGACAUGUGGUGUCAGUGACAUGGACACCCCUGCUGCAGUGCACCACACACCUCCAACUUUCUCCUGUCCCAAUUUGGAUUAUUUCCAUCACUACCCAGACUCAAAAUUCUCAGAAUUAAAACAUGCCAUUAGUAGUCAGUUCACCACAGUACAGUCGGGAUGACUCAGUGCAGUUUUCUUGUCUGGCUCUUGUAUUGAGAGCCACAAAUCAGUUGGUCAGUCUCAGCUUUUGCCUCCUUGUCCCCAUAAUAUUUCCACCUGCAUAAUAAUAAUCUCCCCAUAAUAUUUCCACCACACACGGUACACAUACAUGCUCCAUGUCUUUCUGAAAGUCUCUGCACUUUGAAUAAUUACAUGCAAAUGGAGUCACCAUACCACAGACCCUUAACUAGCAUUAAAUCCUUUAAAUAUCAUUUGUAGUAGAAGAUCUUAAGAGUUAUUCUCAUUCCUCAGUGAAUUUAUCCCACAGCUAAAAUUUAUGCUUUUUUUUUCUGAAUGUGCAAUAAUAGCCUAAGCACACACUUUCAUCUGUUAACCUUAUAUUGAUGGAGACAGGACAAAGCUCACAGUGUUGAAUUCCAACCUGAGUUCAACCGGUUCAGUUCAGUGCAGAUGAAUGUACAGAGCUGGGCACUAACUCAAGCAUGAGAAAUAGGAAAUACGUGUAAAAAUAUAGGUGAUUAUGUACAAAUUACACAUAUGAAAAAUUAUAGUAGUGCAAGUCUAUCCAUCAGGAAAAUGACAGCCUAUGGAGCCCCCUUCUUUCCCAUCAGUGACAUGAACUGUCUUGUAAACAUUGUCUGACGGCUCACUAAACUGACUGCCUAUAGAGAUUCUCUUCUGAUUCAUGCUCCCAUUAAAUGGCAUAAAAAUUUUUGGAUGCAAGGAAUGUACUUGACUACCGAAUUACUUUGGCAUGAAGGAUCUCUCUGUAACAAAGAAUAAUGUCUUUUAUGCAAGACAGAGAGCUUUCCAGGAAGCAGAGUCAAUGCUGCAGACAUCAUUUGAACAGCUCUGUGUCUUUGACAAGCUCCCUAAUCCACUUCCAUUAGAAAAAAGAAAAAAUAAAAUAUAGAUUCUGACUUUCCAGAAAUGUCCAUGUACAGGAAGAGAAAGGAAAACUGGAAAUAAUGCCUGAGUCUUGUCACCUUCUGUCCCCUCAGAAAAAUUCUAUUGAAAGUAUUCAGCUACAGUGGUGUGUAGCAUGUAGGAGCUUGAAUAGAAUUUAAGAGUAUCUAUUAGUGAAUGGCACACUAAAUAAAAGAAAAUUUAUGGCCUUUCGGCCUCUAGGUCACCAGGUCAAGUCCAGCUAACACAAGCAGUGGUGGUCAUUGUUAUUUGAGGGCUUCAUGGUCAAUAUGACAUUGGCUUCUGAGCCAUGAGCUGCCACAUUAGAGCCCUUGUUCCUCACCAGGAGAUGAAGACAUGACAUUGCUUCUGCAAUCCUCUGCUCAUUUUAAUUCAAAUCACAUUAAUAUUUGAGGAUAAUAAUUAUCCUGGUAAAUGCAUGUACAUCUUGAAUGCUGCACUACCUUUCAUAUUAUGAGCAUUAGUGCUAAAAAAGGGCACAGUAAAAACACAUAUCACUUAACAAUUUCUUUUCGUUGGGGCAAAUAGUCAUGUAGGAUACAAACUAGUGGAAAAUCAGACCAUGCCUGUAAUAAAAAUUCUCAAUCAAUUGAAAGAAUUCUGGUACAUUUACCUCUAAAUAAAAAACUUGUCUGCCCUCUUUCUGCAUUAUUGAGAAAACUCUUCUCCAAAAGAACUAGAAUGGUAUAGGCAUAUAAUGCUCCCUUUUGAGAGGAACAAUCUUAAAAUACUUACUCAUUUUUUCUUGAUAUCCUCUCCUAUACAAGGAGUUUUAUACAAUGUAGUAUUUUAACAAGGAUUAUGAAUGUAUGUGAGGAGGGAAAUUCUUUUUUUUCACAAGUGAGAGACCAAAUGAACAAAGGCUAUACUGUAUUUUCUAAAAUGAAAACCGUCCUCAACUACCUGCAAUCAGGAAUACUAUUGUAAUACUGGGACUUGAUCCAUCUUCCCUCUGACAAUGACCUUUUCUGUAGUGUUUUAUGCUGCAAAAUUUUAGCAGCACUCACUUGGUAGACACUUUGCCCUACAACAGUUUUCUUGGCACUGAUUUUCAUCCUUCUACCUGCAUAUUUUGAAAUGUGUUUAGAAAUUUAUUCUUCAAUCUAUCUGUGACAGUGCUUAAAUAUGGAUUUUUGUUGUGAGUAAAAAGCGUUAUGGUCACAGUAAACUUUCAAUUUUUCCAGUGAAACUACAUUUUAUCUACAGGAGGCUAGGUGUGAGGGGGAAAUGGAGGUAGAUGAUUUUUAUUUAAAGAAAGCUUCAUUUUGCAAAUGACGGAAUUCACGCAGUUUAAAAUGAAGGCUUGAAAGGUGCGAUGUACAGGCUUGAAGACUGAACCCAAAUCCUCUAGCAGAAUCCAUCAGGUACUUCAGCACACCCAUCAGUUUUGCCACCAGUCAGUUUGGAUAUUUACAGGAUCCUAAACUACACUGGAGCAAUGGUGCUCAGAAACAGCAAAGAGGAGUCAGAAGUCUGGCCCCAUGAGGAGGUUUG
This 2747-nucleotide long non-coding RNA is filed under the name Taeniopygia guttata (zebra finch). Its description in RNAcentral is "lncRNA (ENSTGUG00000025687.1)". The record is from RNAcentral. Lineage: Eukaryota; Metazoa; Chordata; Aves; Passeriformes; Estrildidae.